UACGGGAGGCAGCAGUGGGGAAUAUUGCACAAUGGGCGCAAGCCUGAUGCAGCCAUGCCGCGUGUAUGAAAAAGGCCUUCGGGUUGUAAAGUACUUUCAGUCGUGAGGAAGGUGUUAAGGUUAAUAACCUUAGCAAUUGACGUUAGCGACAGAAGAAGCACCGGCUAACUCCGUGCCAGCAGCCGCGGUAAUACGGAGGGUGCGAGCGUUAAUCGGAAUUACUGGGCGUAAAGGGCACGCAGGCGGUUAAUUAAGUUGGAUGUGAAUCCCCGGGCUUAACCUGGGAAUGGCAUUCAAGACUGGUUAGCUAGAGUCUUGUAGAGGGGGUAGAAUUCCAUGUGUAGCGGUGAAAUGCGUAGAGAUGUGGAGGAAUACCGGUGGCGAAGGCGGCCCCGUGGACAAAGACUGACGCUCAUGUGCGAAAGCGUGGGGAGCAAACGAGGGAUUAGAUACC
This 454-nucleotide ribosomal RNA is filed under the name uncultured bacterium. Its description in RNAcentral is "bacterial SSU rRNA". It matches the Rfam family "Bacterial small subunit ribosomal RNA", at positions 340 to 786 of the family's 1533-position model. The record is from RNAcentral.